This 270-nucleotide ribosomal RNA is filed under the name uncultured archaeon. RNAcentral's name for it is "partial 16S ribosomal RNA". It matches the Rfam family "Archaeal small subunit ribosomal RNA", at positions 477 to 747 of the family's 1478-position model. The record is from RNAcentral.
CUGCAGCCCGAGUGGUGAUCGAUUUUAUUGAGCCUAAAGCGUCCGUAGCCGGACUAGUAAACCCUUGGGUAAAUUGGGCAGCUUAACUGUCCAAAUUCCGAGGGGACUGCUAGUCUUGGGACCGGGAGAGGUCAGAGGUACUCAAGGGGUAGGGGCUAAAUCCUGUAAUCCUUUGGGGACCACCAGUGGCGAAGGCGUCUGACUAGAACGGAUCCGACGGUAAGGGACGAAACCCUGGGGCGCGAUCCGGAUUAGAGACCCGAGUAGUCC